Molecule: unclassified non-coding RNA, 239 nt
Filed under: fungal sp.
Lineage: Eukaryota; Fungi
Description: partial internal transcribed spacer region
Rfam family: Eukaryotic small subunit ribosomal RNA (bases 1-46)
Source: RNAcentral
AAGUCGUAACAAGGUAACCGUAGGUGAACCUGCGGUUGGAUCAUUAAUGAAUUUGUCUGCGGAAGCAUUCAACAAAAGGCCUAGGUUAAAACCUGGCUGAAACCUUGUGUGAAUCGUUUUGUAUGUCUCUGGCAUGACUUUUGACAUGCCUCUGACCUUUUUAAAAAACAUUAUUUGAAUUUUGGUUUGAACAAAUUUAUAAUUUGAAACAACUUUUGACAACGGAUCUCUUGGCUCUC